This 3988-nucleotide long non-coding RNA is filed under the name Homo sapiens (human). Lineage: Eukaryota; Metazoa; Chordata; Mammalia; Primates; Hominidae. The record is from RNAcentral.
GGGCAGCGCGGGUGGCGCCACGGGCGGAGGCGACUUCCUGGGCCCUGGUGCACGGCGCCCCCUGGCGGGCCUCGGGGAGGCGGCCUCCUGCGUGCCCGGACCGCUCGCUGCGCCUUCCCGCCUGGCUUCCGGUUACCCAACCUCAUCUCGCCCGAGCCUCAUCUGUAGCUCACCGUCCUGUGCGCCCUGUGCUGUUGGCAGGGCGUGUGGGAUUUAGAGGGUUUUCUAUACUGAGUCUUCCUCGGAGCAGGUGAAUUCUGCAUAGCUGGCCCAGUUCUGUGUCUUAAGUAUGGGGAGAGAGUGGGGGCUGGAGAAAUCACUAGCAGGGGAGGAGCCCUGAGGUUGCCGAGGGGGAUCGGAGCUACUUCCCAAGGCGCCUACACCGCCCGUAGACUGGGAAACUACGGUCACAAAGGGUCAGCGCAUUCCCCAAGGUCCCAGAGCCACACGCAGCAUGGCUGGCAUUUGAAAGUCAAAGCAGAGGAAGCAGGCAGGUGGCUCUUGUUGAACUGGCUUCCAGAGUCUGUGUUGGGCAGAGAGAUCCUUCCCCGAGAGUGGAGUGGCCUCGUGCUCACCUGGGUUCAGCGUCAAGGUUCACCUGGAAUCACCUGCACUCUUGUCCUUGACCAAGGCAGGGUGGUUAGCCAUGGGCUGAUAGCCUUGGAGAGCCUGAUUCAGCCUUUGGGUAGAGCUGGGUCAGUCCAGCCUCAGGGCCAUCACUCACCCGAAGCAUUGUGGUAACCUGCCUGCCCCUGGAGACCCCGGGUGUGGGGCAGGGUGACCGUGGUGGAGAGUGGGAGCUGGCAGAGGUAAGGAGGCACACGUCUGCCACAGCACCAGAGCUCAGGGCGCCUGAGAAGCAAGGUCAUAGCGUCCUGUUCUUGGACCCCGUCAGUCUCCACAGCUAUAGGGGGCUCCAUUGAAAAGAGUGUGCCAGACCUUCUCUGUCUGUGCCCUGGUGAGGGCUCACUCACUCUCCAGGCUUGCUGGGGGAGGAGGCACGAACUUCGGUGGAAAGAACAGAACUCAGGAGCCAGAGAAUGGAGUUUGACUCCUGCCUCGGACACUCAUGUAUAAAGUGAGGAUAGUAAUACUGCUGAAUCCCUGGGUCUGUUAGAGAAUGAAGCGAGGAAAGUCAGGCAGAGCACUUAACUAAGUGCCCAGCUCGCAUUAAGUACACCAUGCUCAUGCCCAUGGCCAGGAUGGUGUGUUCCAGCUGCAACCUUUAGCAGGGGCCCUGGAAGUGCUUGUGUCUUCUGCUUCGUCCAUCAUUAGCAGCAGCAGAAGGUAGGGCAGUGUUUGCUUCUCAAACCAGGUUUCUCACACAUUGAAAGAUAUUCUGCAUUUAAAUUUACAUGAUAAAUUAAAAUAUAAGCCAUUGGGAUGAACACCUUAUAAUCAAAUACUCCCAGGUGACCUAGUGCCUGAGUUUACCUGAGUGUUUAAAAUCAAGUUGGCGACAAGGAACAGCGAACACGACUGCCUUUAAUAUUUAGUUAGACCCUGGUGGGGUGAGGCUCCCAGGAGUGGCUUCCCUUUGGGCCCUUCCUCUGUCCUCCCAGGUGGCUGAGGGGGACCUACAACCCUAGUCAGCAGUUGGGAAUCCGUCCUCAUCAGUGAGCUACCUGGCUUCCAUGAAACUAGGGUCGUGUCUAGGGAUCUAGUGUUUUGGAAGCUCCUGGAAAUGAGGUUGGCCAAGAGGGUCUUCUGGAAAUCUCCGCUCACUGAGCCAUCAUCCUACGCCAGUGGUCAAAUUCUGCCAGAACCACACUGCAGAUCAUGUUUAAUUAGAGUUCUUAGGGUACUUUUGUUUUUACGUAGCGACGUUGUUUGUUUUUUUCUAGUUGUUAUAAGCAUUGCAGGGCUAUCUGUUGUUUCACGUGCUUAAAUAUUUAAGCCAGUCAAUGCCGGAACCUAGGGAUCGUUUCCACCUUCUUUUUGAAAAGGGUCACAUUACUGGAAGAAGAAACCUGGAGCUGAUUCACAAAAGUAGAGUAAUCCUGUCUGCAGUUGAGAGUUGAAGCCACGAGGUGGCGCCCUCAGCACACUACUUGAGCUGUUGGGUUUUCCAGCGGCAAUGACCAGCACGGGGACAGAGGAUGUCCUGAAGAGGGGCUCUGUCCGCUUCAGGACGUCCAGGGGAGUCACCUGUGUAACACUCACAGGAAAUACAUGCUUCUGUGGGUACACAGCUGGGAACAGGGUGAGGCAAGUGAGUUAUCUUGGGUGCAAAUUUUAAGGGGCAAUGAGCGCCCCUCUCCCCUCACCCUGGUCCCGGCCCUGGGCCACCGGACUGGGACAUGUCUGUGAGGACCAGAGUUGGGGAGCGGCUCCCUGACACCCCAGGAGAGAGGGUGAUGCUUUGACCUCAGCCCUGGUCAGGUGGGGCCUACACCACGGGGACGCUAAAGCCCCUAUUCUGAUCCAGAGGCUGUGGCCGGAAUAAACGGAUGUACUUUCUGGGAGGGGAUUAAGGGGAUGGACGAGGUGCUGCCCCAUCCCUAUUCCCACUAUGAAUUGGAGCCACAGGGACAUGGAGGGUGUGGAGCUGAGCCGAGUGCGUCCCUGGAGUGCCCUUUCCUGUCUGCACUCGGGCUGGGCCAGCCUCCUGUGGCUCCUGCACAUGGCAGCCCCCCUCAGCUGGAGGAGCCACAGUGGAGCAGGCGUGGAGUCCGUGGCACCAUGGCAGGGGGUCUCUGUCCAGGGCCUGGGUACUCGGUGACACUGGGAGAGAAUGCAGCCUGCAGCGUGGCCUCGGAAACUGGAAUAAGAGAGCUGACCUAUGAAGGAGGCACGGGAAGCUGGGUGCAGAGAUGACCGAGAAACUGGCAAACAUUUUGGUAAACCAGAGCACCAUGCUGCGUGAGUGAGGAGUAACCAAGGUGGAAGUGUUAAGGAUGAGGUGGAACGAAUAUUCAUACCAUACAGUAACUAACACUGAACACAGUCACCUGGAAGAGAAGACUGGGGAGAAUCGGGACAUUAAGGCUCCUGGGCACUUGCGGUUUUUACUCCGGGUCAGCGCUGUCCAACAGGGAUAUAGUUUGAACCACGUCUAUAAUUAAACGCUUUCUGGUAGCCAUAUUAAAAAAGAAACAGGUGAAAUUGGUUUAAUAACAUAUUUUAUUUAGGGCAAUAUAUGCAAAAUACUAUCAUUUCCACAUAUAAUCAUUUAUAAAUAUUAUUUAUUGAAACAUUUUGUAUUCCUUUUUUUAUACCAACUCUUUCAAAUCCGGUGCAUAUUUUACAUUUAUAGCAUAUUCCAAUUUGGAUACUAAAUUUCUGCUGCAAAUAUUUUAUCUGUAUUUAGAGUUUACAAAAUUUAGAGUUAAAAAAAGAUUUUCAAGUUGUUCUAAACAUGCGUUUUUAGUAAUUGGAUUGUGUAUCAAUUUCUAAAUUAAGAUUAAAUAAAAUUGAACAUUUAAGUGCUCGGUUGAUCUAAUUUCAAAUGUGAUUAGUGGCCCUACUGUAUUGGAUAGUGCAGUGGUAGGCAUUUAAAAGUAAAGUAUUCAUGUUAAAAAUGUUAAGAAUAACAAGCAAAGAAUAGAAGUAGAAUAUAUAACUUCUAAACCAGUAGAGGGGGCUGCAUACAAAAAAAAUCCCGAUCAAUUCAACAGAAGGGGAAGUGAGAAAACAAUAAAACAAAAAUUAUGAUAAAUAGAAACACAAAAGAAGAAGAUAAAAAUAGGUAUAAAUGCCAUAAAUUUAUCAGUAACAGUAGUAAAUGUAAACAGAUUAAUCUCACACAUUAAAAGACAGAAGUACUUAGGUUGGAAUUUUUAAAAAUCCAGUUGUAGCUGCUUGUGAAGAGACAUCUAAAAUAUAAGAACACAGAAAUGUUGAAAAUAAAUGAAUGGAAAAAGAUAUGUGAGACAAAUAGGAAUUAAAAUAAAACUAGUGUAGUGAACUCAUAUUAAUAUGGACAAGACAGACUAAGGAAAAUCUUUAUUAGGGAUAAAGAUUGUCAUUGCAAGAUUAUAAAAGAAAC